GAAAUGCGAUAAGUAAUGUGAAUUGCAGAAUUCAGUGAAUCAUCGAAUCUUUGAACGCACAUUGCGCCCGGCAGCAAUCUGCCGGGCAUGCCUGUCCGAGCGUCAUUUCUGCCCUCGAGCGCGGUUCGGCCCCUAGCGGGCCGGCCGCCGCCCGGUGUUGGGGCGCUGCGGGCCCUCGUGCCCGCAGGCCCUGAAAUGAAGUGGCGGUCCCGCCGCGGCGCCCCCUGCGUAGUAGUAAAGCACCUCGCAUCGGGUCCCGGCGGAGGCCAGCCGUCGAACCGCUCUUUUGAUGGUUUGACCUCGGAUCAGGUAGGGUUACCCGCUGAACUUAAGC
This 334-nucleotide unclassified non-coding RNA is filed under the name plant metagenome. RNAcentral describes it as "partial contains 5.8S ribosomal RNA, internal transcribed spacer 2, and large subunit ribosomal RNA". The stretch from base 1 to 105 matches the Rfam family "5.8S ribosomal RNA", at positions 50 to 154 of the family's 154-position model. The record is from RNAcentral.